Molecule: long non-coding RNA, 3098 nt
Organism: Oncorhynchus gorbuscha (pink salmon)
Lineage: Eukaryota; Metazoa; Chordata; Actinopteri; Salmoniformes; Salmonidae
Exons: 2
Source: RefSeq, a predicted model, not a curated record
UAAGAAAGCCUUAACUCAACCCUGGAGUCAGAGCGAGAAAGAGGUAGAGGCUGGCCACACCUAUAUAGAGAAAGCCUUAACUCAAGCCUGGAGUCAGAGUGAGAAAGAGGUAGAGGCUGGCCACACCUAUAUAGAGAAAGCCUUAACUCAACCCUGGAGUCAGAGCGAGAAAGAGGUAGAGGCUGGCCACCUAUAUAGAGAAAGCCUUAACUCAACCCUGGAGUCAGAGCGAGAAAGAGGUAGAGGCUGGCCACCUAUAUAGAGAAAGCCUUAACUCAACCCUGGAGUCAGAGCGAGAAAGAGGUAGAGGCUGGCCACACCUAUAUAGAGAAAGCCUUAACUCAACCCUGGAGUCAGAGCGAGAAAGAGGUAGAGGCUGGCCACCUAUAUAGAGAAAGCCUUAACUCAACCCUGGAGUCAGAGCGAGAAAGAGGUAGAGGCUGGCCACCUAUAUAGAGAAAGCCUUAACUCAACCCUGGAGUCAGAGCGAGAAAGAGGUAGAGGCUGGCCACACCUAUAUAGAGAAAGCCUUAACUCAAGCCUGGAGUCAGAGUGAGAAAGAGGUAGAGGCUGGCCACACCUAUAUAGAGAAAGCCUUAACUCAACCCUGGAGUCAGAGCGAGAAAGAGGUAGAGGCUGGCCACCUAUAUAGAGAAAGCCUUAACUCAACCCUGGAGUCAGAGCGAGAAAGAGGUAGAGGCUGGCCACCUAUAUAGAGAAAGCCUUAACUCAACCCUGGAGUCAGAGCGAGAAAGAGGUAGAGGCUGGCCACACCUAUAUAGAGAAAGCCUUAACUCAACCCUGGAGUCAGAGCGAGAAAGAGGUAGAGGCUGGCCACCUAUAUAGAGAAAGCCUUAACUCAACCCUGGAGUCAGAGCGAGAAAGAGGUAGAGGCUGGCCACACCUAUAUAGAGAAAGCCUUAACUCAAGCCUGGAGUCAGAGUGAGAAAGAGGUAGAGGCUGGCCACACCUAUAUAGAGAAAGCCUUAACUCAACCCUGGAGUCAGAGCGAGAAAGAGGUAGAGGCUGGCCACCUAUAUAGAGAAAGCCUUAACUCAACCCUGGAGUCAGAGCGAGAAAGAGGUAGAGGCUGGCCACACCUAUAUAGAGAAAGCCUUAACUCAACCCUGGAGUCAGAGCGAGAAAGAGGUAGAGGCUGGCCACCUAUAUAGAGAAAGCCUUAACUCAACCCUGGAGUCAGAGCGAGAAAGAGGUAGAGGCUGGCCACACCUAUAUAGAGAAAGCCUUAACUCAAGCCUGGAGUCAGAGUGAGAAAGAGGUAGAGGCUGGCCACACCUAUAUAGAGAAAGCCUUAACUCAACCCUGGAGUCAGAGCGAGAAAGAGGUAGAGGCUGGCCACCUAUAUAGAGAAAGCCUUAACUCAACCCUGGAGUCAGAGCGAGAAAGAGGUAGAGGCUGGCCACACCUAUAUAGAGAAAGCCUUAACUCAAGCCUGGAGUCAGAGCGAGAAAGAGGUAGAGGCUGGCCACACCUAUAUAGAGAAAGCCUUAACUCAACCCUGGAGUCAGAGCGAGAAAGAGGUAGAGGCUGGCCACCUAUAUAGAGAAAGCCUGAACACUGCUCAAUAGGAUUGAUACUGUAAACCUUUAUGUCCAGAACCUCCCAAUAUAAAUACACACUUGGUGGCUUAUGCUUGGUUUUAGUGUGCUGCGGUUUCCAAAAGGAGAUGUGGAUGCAUUGUUUUUAGACAUUCCAGAAGAUUCCACCAGUAUCUUUAGCAUCUUUAACUGGCACUUUUCAAGAGCAAAAAGCAACGAUUUUGUCUGUGGUUAUUUUUGGCCACAAUACGGAAUCGUUUUUAAUGUAAAAUGAUUUGAUGGUAAAUUGUAUUGAUUUGUUGAUUGUCCCUUAUGUCUUCCCUUUGAGUGUAGAGGGAGUCCUUUUACUGCUGGUCAGAUGAGACACAUCUCCCUCCUAUCCUUCCUUCUUGGUAUUUACAGUGGAUUCACACUGGCCACGUUCAAGGCCACUUCAUUGCAGUCGCAUGCCAGAACCUCACAAUGCCUGGAUAGGUGUUUCUGUAUCAGCUUAUCACAAAAUGACACCGCCAACUGAUGGCGGACUGGAAAGUCAGUGAGGUGUCACGCAGCCACAGGUUGCUGCAUGCAGUGCGACUGUAAUGUAGUCAGCCUGGAACGCGACCACUGUGUUCACCCAGGGAAUAAACCAACUUAGCCAUGUUGAGUUCCAUUAUCUGGAAAUGGUCAGUGAUUCUUGAGGUGUGCCCUCUAUAAACCUUAUAAUCUGGAUGGGUAGGGGCAGUCCUCUGGAUGGGUAGGGGCAGUCCUCUGGAUGGGUAGGGGCAGUCCUCUGAUCCAGUCCUAUUGAUUUGCUGAACAACAUGUUGUUUUGGUUUGGUUGCGCUUUAUGCCAUGUCCGUAGUAAAGCCCUUUUCACUACCUGUGUUCAAACAUUUUCUCUGCUGAUGACAAGCACUGUCCCAUAGAUGUUUUGUGUGUCUUCUAUACGAUAUCUCUGUUAGAUACAUAACAGAUUGCCUGUGAGGUGGGCAGGGGUCAGGGGGGGGGGGGGGUCAGUGAAUGGAGGGGGUUACGGUUCUAAAGCACUUACUGUACUAUAUGGGAGAGGGUUCCUCUUAUUUUUCUGAAAGGGGGCCUCUCCUCGGCUGAAGCUCUUGAUAUGUUGUGAGACUAAAACCACACAGCUGUGUAUUUCCCCUUUUCCCUGUGUCUGACCCGGUCAUAUACCCUGGGUGUAUUCAUUAGGCACCAAACGGAAGAAAAUGGGCUGAAACAGGGAGAUACUACCUGACCUUGCCCAAUUUUCCAUUGCUACGGUGUGCCCUAGUGAAUACAACCCCUGUCCCAUGUCUCUUUGUCUGUCUGUAGUCGACACAAGACUCUCAUCCUGUCUUCCCUCUCCGUCUCUCACGCCCUCCUCUCCUCCCCAGCUCCUCUUUAUCUGUUGUCUUAUGUUUUGUUGGACUGUCAGUCCACACGGUCGUUGAGAAGCUAUUAUAUUUAGAGGUUUUUUUAAGAAGAAACUUGUGGGUGGAUAAAGAAGAGGCUUGUGCCUUUUGUAAAGACAGAAUAAUAAAGUUUGUACUUCAUUUUUUA